Molecule: ribosomal RNA, 335 nt
Filed under: uncultured bacterium
Lineage: Bacteria
Description: bacterial SSU rRNA
Rfam family: Bacterial small subunit ribosomal RNA
Source: RNAcentral
AUUGAACGCUGGCGGCAUGCCUUACACGUGCAAGUCGAACGGCAGCACGGGAGCAAUCCUGGUGGCGAGUGGCGAACGGGUGAGUAAUAUAUCGGAACGUGCCCGGUCGUGGGGGAUAACGUAGCGAAAGCUACGCUAAUACCGCAUACGAUCUACGGAUGAAAGCGGGGGAUCGCAAGACCUCGCGCGAUUGGAGCGGCCGAUAUCAGAUUAGGUAGUUGGUGAGGUAAAGGCUCACCAAGCCGACGAUCUGUAGCUGGUCUGAGAGGACGACCAGCCACACUGGGACUGAGACACGGCCCAGAUUCCUACGGGAGGCAGCAGUGGGGAAUUUU